CUAUUUGGGAGUUUUAUUUUGAAAAUCCACUCUUUUUCCGGCUCCCUGGGAACAUCCUGUAACCAUCUGGGGGUUUUAUUUUGAAAAUCCAGCAUCUUUCAGGCUUCCUGGGAACAUUCUGUAACUAUUUGGGAGUUUUAUUUUGAAAAUCCACUCUUUUUCCGGCUCCCUGGGAACAUCCUGUAACCAUCUGGGGGUUUUAUUUUGAAAAUCCAGCAUCUUUCAGGCUU
RNAcentral lists this unclassified non-coding RNA (230 nucleotides) under Hevea brasiliensis (rubber tree). The record is from RNAcentral. Lineage: Eukaryota; Viridiplantae; Streptophyta; Magnoliopsida; Malpighiales; Euphorbiaceae.